This 76-nucleotide transfer RNA is filed under the name Nitrososphaerota archaeon. Its description in RNAcentral is "Thaumarchaeota archaeon tRNA-Thr". It matches the Rfam family "tRNA". From Rfam's summary of the family: Transfer RNA (tRNA) molecules are approximately 80 nucleotides in length. Lineage: Archaea; Thermoproteati; Nitrososphaerota. RNAcentral also lists the same sequence under 4 other names. The record is from RNAcentral.
GCCUCGGUAGCUCAGCCUGGCUUAGAGCGAACGCCUCGUAAGCGUUAGGCCGUGGGUUCAGAUCCCACUCGAGGCU